UACGGAGGGGGCUAGCGUUAUUCGGAAUUAUUGGGCGUAAAGGGCGUGUAGGCGGCUUCGUGUGUCCCAUGUGAAAGCCCUCGGCUCAACCGGGGAACUGCGUCUGAUACUGGGUGGCUUGAAUUCGGGAGAGGGAUGCGGAAUUCCAGGUGUAGCGGUGAAAUGCGUAGAUAUCUGGAGGAACACCGGUGGCGAAGGCGGGUCUCUGGGCCGAUACUGACGCUGAGGAGCGAAAGCGUGGGGAGCGAACAGG
This 253-nucleotide ribosomal RNA is filed under the name uncultured bacterium. Its description in RNAcentral is "partial 16S ribosomal RNA". It matches the Rfam family "Bacterial small subunit ribosomal RNA", at positions 524 to 776 of the family's 1533-position model. The record is from RNAcentral.